This 352-nucleotide unclassified non-coding RNA is filed under the name soil metagenome. Its description in RNAcentral is "partial contains 5.8S ribosomal RNA, internal transcribed spacer 2, and large subunit ribosomal RNA". The stretch from base 1 to 120 matches the Rfam family "5.8S ribosomal RNA", at positions 35 to 154 of the family's 154-position model. The record is from RNAcentral.
GAUGAAGAACGUAGCGAAAUGCGAUAAGUAAUGUGAAUUGCAGAAUUCAGUGAAUCAUCGAAUCUUUGAACGCACAUUGCGCCCGCCAGUAUUCUGGCGGGCAUGCCUGUUCGAGCGUCAUUACAACCCUCAGGCCCCCGGGCCUGGCGUUGGGGAUCGGCGGAGCCCCCCGUGGGCACACGCCGUCCCCCAAAUGCAGUGGCGGUCCCGCCGCAGCUUCCAUCGCGUAGUAGCUAACACCUCGCGACUGGAGAGCGGCGCGGCCACGCCGUAAAACACCCAACUCUUCUGAAGUUGACCUCGAAUCAGGUAGGAAUACCCGCUGAACUUAAGCAUAUCAGUAAGCGGAGGA